RNAcentral lists this ribosomal RNA (305 nucleotides) under uncultured bacterium. RNAcentral describes it as "bacterial SSU rRNA". It matches the Rfam family "Bacterial small subunit ribosomal RNA", at positions 333 to 653 of the family's 1533-position model. The record is from RNAcentral.
UAAAGCCUACGGGGCGCAGCAGUGGGGAAUAUUGGGCAAUGGGCGCAAGCCUGACCCAGCAACGCCGCGUGAAGGAAGAAGGCUUUCGGGUUGUAAACUUCUUUUAAGAGGGAAGAGCAGAAGACGGUACCUCUUGAAUAAGCCACGGCUAACUACGUGCCAGCAGCCGCGGUAAUACGUAGGGAGCAAGCGUUAUCCGGAAUUAUUGGGUGUAAAGGGUGCGUAGACGGGACAGCAAGUUAGUUGUGAAAGCCCUCGGCUUAACUGAGGAACUGCAACUAAAACUAUUGUUCUUGAGUGCAGGA